This is a transfer RNA of 74 nucleotides. It matches the Rfam family "tRNA". From Rfam's summary of the family: Transfer RNA (tRNA) molecules are approximately 80 nucleotides in length. Their secondary structure includes four short double-helical elements and three loops (D, anti-codon, and T loops). Further hydrogen bonds mediate the characteristic L-shaped molecular structure. tRNAs have two regions of fundamental functional importance: the anti-codon, which is responsible for specific mRNA codon recognition, and the 3' end, to which the tRNAs corresponding amino acid is attached (by aminoacyl-tRNA synthetases). tRNAs cope with the degeneracy of the genetic code in two manners: having more than one tRNA (with a specific anti-codon) for a particular amino acid; and 'wobble' base-pairing, i.e. permitting non-standard base-pairing at the 3rd anti-codon position. The record is from Rfam.
GCCUCUGUGGCUUAGCCCGGUAUAGCGGCUGACUUGUAAUCAGCAGGUCGCGAGUUCAAAUCUCGCCGGAGGCU